This 301-nucleotide ribosomal RNA is filed under the name uncultured bacterium. RNAcentral's name for it is "partial 16S ribosomal RNA". It matches the Rfam family "Bacterial small subunit ribosomal RNA", at positions 509 to 807 of the family's 1533-position model. The record is from RNAcentral.
CAGUCGCCGCGGGAAUACGAAGGGUGCAAGCGUUACUCGGAAUUACUGGGCGUAAAGCGUGCGUAGGUGGUGGUUUAAGUCCGUUGUGAAAGCCCUGGGCUCAACCUGGGAAUUGCAGUGGAUACUGGGUCACUAGAGUGUGGUAGAGGAUAGUGGAAUUUCCGGUGUAGCAGUGAAAUGCGCAGAGAUCGGAAGGAACAUCUGUGGCGAAGGCGACUAUCUGGGCCAAUACUGACACUGAGGCACGAAAGCGUGGGGAGCAAACAGGAUUAGAGACCCCCGUAGUCCCUGUCUCUUAUAC